AUCGGGGAGCUCGUGAACGGGCUGAGAGGAAGCAGAAAGCUUCGACCCUUAUACCUGAUUCGGGUAAUGCCGGCGUAGGAAAUUUAUAUUUUA
RNAcentral lists this non-coding RNA (93 nucleotides) under bovine gut metagenome. RNAcentral describes it as "TPP riboswitch (THI element)". The stretch from base 1 to 83 matches the Rfam family "TPP riboswitch aptamer (THI element)", at positions 9 to 90 of the family's 105-position model. From Rfam's summary of the family: Vitamin B(1) in its active form thiamin pyrophosphate (TPP) is an essential coenzyme that is synthesised by coupling of pyrimidine and thiazole moieties in bacteria. The previously detected thiamin-regulatory element, thi box was extended, resulting in a new, highly conserved RNA secondary structure, the THI element, which is widely distributed in eubacteria and also occurs in some archaea. Analysis of operon structures identified a large number of new candidate thiamin-regulated genes, mostly transporters, in various prokaryotic organisms. The record is from RNAcentral.